GGGAGAUUAGCUUAAUGGUAAAGAAUCUUCCUUAUAAGAAGACAAAGCGGGGUCUAGAUAAGGCUCUGUUACAGGUUCGAGUCCUGUAUCUCCCACCA
Molecule: transfer RNA, 98 nt
Filed under: Caudoviricetes sp.
Lineage: Duplodnaviria; Heunggongvirae; Uroviricota; Caudoviricetes
Description: tRNA-Ile
Rfam family: tRNA
About the family: Transfer RNA (tRNA) molecules are approximately 80 nucleotides in length.
Source: RNAcentral